Molecule: ribosomal RNA, 425 nt
Filed under: uncultured bacterium
Lineage: Bacteria
Description: partial 16S ribosomal RNA
Rfam family: Bacterial small subunit ribosomal RNA
Source: RNAcentral
GUGGGGAAUAUUGGGCAAUGGGCGAAAGCCUGACCCAGCAACGCCGCGUGAAGGAAGAAGGUUUUCGGAUCGUAAACUUCUAUCCUAGGUGAAGAUAAUGACGGUAGCCUAGAAGGAAGCCCCGGCUAACUACGUGCCAGCAGCCGCGGUAAUACGUAGGGGGCAAGCGUUGUCCGGAAUGAUUGGGCGUAAAGGGCGCGUAGGCGGCCUUCUAAGUCCGAUGUGAAAGUCCUGCUUUUAAGGUGGGAAUUGCAUUGGAAACUGGAGGGCUUGAGUGCAGGAGAGGUAAGUGGAAUUCCCGGUGUAGCGGUGAAAUGCGUAGAGAUCGGGAGGAACACCAGUGGCGAAGGCGACUUACUGGACUGUAACUGACGCUGAGGCGCGAAAGUGUGGGGAGCAAACAGGAUUAGAUACCCUAGUAGUCC